RNAcentral lists this small RNA (243 nucleotides) under Salvator merianae (Argentine black and white tegu). Its description in RNAcentral is "7SK RNA (ENSSMRG00000015823.1)". The stretch from base 1 to 184 matches the Rfam family "7SK RNA". Rfam says of the family: 7SK was discovered as an abundant small nuclear RNA in the mid-70s but a possible function has only recently been suggested. The record is from RNAcentral. Lineage: Eukaryota; Metazoa; Chordata; Lepidosauria; Squamata; Teiidae.
GGGCCGGAGGGUGCUCUGUCUGCAACCUCUGUCGAUCGCCAGGCUUGAGUCGGCUGACCUGGCGGGCCAGGCAGGGCCCUGUUCCUCCCUCAUUGCUCCAUGUGUGCCCUUUCCAAAAUGGCAUGCUUGGUGGAAGAUGGUGGCCGUCCGUCCGUCCCUCCCUCCUUGGCCAAGCACGUAAAAUCCCUGCAUCCCUGCUAGGACCUCCGUGCGAAGCUGAAACAGCCAAGUCUAGUUAGUCUU